AGUGAACGCUGGCGGUAGGCCUAACACAUGCAAGUCGAACGGCAGCACAGGAGAGCUUGCUCUCUGGGUGGCGAGUGGCGGACGGGUGAGGAAUACAUCGGAAUCUACUUUUUCGUGGGGGAUAACGUAGGGAAACUUACGCUAAUACCGCAUACGACCUACGGGUGAAAGCAGGGGACCUUCCGGCCUUGCGCGAUUGAAUGAGCCGAGGUCGGAUUAGCUAGUUGGCGGGGUAAAGGCCCACCAAGGCGACGAUCCGUAGCUGGUCUGAGAGGAUGAUCAGCCACACUGGAACUGAGACACGGUCCAGACUCCUACGGGAGGCAGCAGUGGGGAAUAUUGGACAAUGGGCGCAAGCCUGAUUCAGCCAUACCGCGUGGGUGAAGAAGGCCUUCGGGUUGUAAAGCCCUUUUGUUGGGAAAGAAAUCCAGCUGGCUAAUACCCGGUUGGGAUGACGGUACCCAAAGAAUAAGCACCGGCUAACUUCGUGCCAGCCGCCGCCGUAA
Molecule: ribosomal RNA, 506 nt
Filed under: uncultured bacterium
Lineage: Bacteria
Description: partial 16S ribosomal RNA
Rfam family: Bacterial small subunit ribosomal RNA
Source: RNAcentral